UUAGUUUAUUUAACUAUUUUCAGAUUUAACAUGGUUAAAAGAAUUUAUUGUGGGCUACUGACGAGCACUGGCCAAGGGCUUAAAAACCCCCGACGGUCCGGUUAAAGACGGGCCCGCCAAAGCAACAUGGUAAUUAUACAUAGGGUUGGAGAUCGGGCCUGGAAGACCCUAACUCAUUAAUGAUCCUUCCGCAGGUUCACCUACGGAAA
RNAcentral lists this unclassified non-coding RNA (209 nucleotides) under uncultured fungus. Its description in RNAcentral is "sequence contains ITS1, 5.8S rRNA gene". The record is from RNAcentral. Lineage: Eukaryota; Fungi.